RNAcentral lists this long non-coding RNA (696 nucleotides) under Mytilus galloprovincialis (Mediterranean mussel). The record is from RNAcentral. Lineage: Eukaryota; Metazoa; Mollusca; Bivalvia; Mytilida; Mytilidae.
UGCCCUCACGUCAGUCGUUUUAUUCUAAACAUUAAGGAACAUCUCAGAUUCUUAUGAUUGUCUUGCUUUAAAAGGUAAAAACAAACAAAGGGAUUGAACUUAAACAACUUUACUAUAAUGUUCUUUUCAUAAUCUUCAUGUUUGAUAUUUCUCUUGACUUAUAUGCGUGUUUUUAACAACACGGAAAAUCAGAAUUGAGCAGUAUUUAUAUUUAGGGUUUUUAUAAAUUUAGAAACACGUCAGAGGGAAUUCCCCAGUUUUUAUAAAAAUGCGAGAGUUCUCUGAAUUCCUAUAAAUCUAUUUCUGUCAUAUAAGAACUGAAGUGGAGUUUCUCUUAUAUGUCACCAUUAUGAAACUGAUAUUUGAUAUUGUACUUCAAUAAAGAAAUAGAGAACCAUCUAGGUCGUUUUAUUAACAUUUAAUAUACGUUCUUGCUCCAGGGUUUGUUUAGGUAAUUAUGCGCAUGCGUAUAGUUUUCUUGACUUUAAGGGGUAUUAGAUUGAAUGGUUGCUCUGGGUUCCCCGCUCAAUUGAUUGAUUUAAAACUCAUGGGAUCAGUUCUAUGUUUAUUCUGCUACUGAGGGUUAUUGUGGUUUCAUAAUUUUAAAUCAUAUGCAUCAUUUAAAUUAAAAUAAAUGUAGUCCACAUCGCAACACACCUUACGGCGAAAUGGAGUCUUCCAUAUUAUCGUUUCGAG